AGAAACACAGCCCGUCUCCCCAGAAGGUGCAGCCUGUCAUUUCAAAUGCUCACCAUGAUCAUCGUGGCUACUGUGUUGAAAAAUUAUGGAAAAGAACAAAAGCAGAAGAGGGAAACCAGUUACAGGCUAUUGCAGUGGUUCAGGCAGGAGAAGGAGGUGCGUGGAGCCGGGCAGCAGCUAUGCAGAUGGUUCGAAGUAGUCAUAUUCUGGAUAAAUUUUGAAGGCAGAGGUGAUAAGAUUUGCUGAUGAAGUGGAUGUGGCACUCGAGAGAAGCGAAGUACUAAAGAUGACACCUUGAUUCUGGACCAGAGCAACUGGAGGAGUGGUGGUGCCAUUUACUGAGAUGGAAAAAUCUGGAGGAGAAGACAGUUG
This 372-nucleotide long non-coding RNA is filed under the name Equus caballus (horse). Its description in RNAcentral is "lncRNA (ENSECAG00000048292.1)". Lineage: Eukaryota; Metazoa; Chordata; Mammalia; Perissodactyla; Equidae. The record is from RNAcentral.